Molecule: ribosomal RNA, 1018 nt
Filed under: uncultured bacterium
Lineage: Bacteria
Description: bacterial SSU rRNA
Rfam family: Bacterial small subunit ribosomal RNA
Source: RNAcentral
AGGAAUAUUGGUCAAUGGACGAGAGUCUGAACCAGCCAAGUAGCGUGCAGGAAGACGGCCCUAUGGGUUGUAAACUGCUUUUAUAAGGGAAUAAAGUUAGUCUCGUGAGACUUUUUGCAUGUACCUUAUGAAUAAGGACCGGCUAAUUCCGUGCCAGCAGCCGCGGUAAUACGGAAGGUCCGGGCGUUAUCCGGAUUUAUUGGGUUUAAAGGGAGCGUAGGCCGGAGAUUAAGCGUGUUGUGAAAUGUAGACGCUCAACGUCUGCACUGCAGCGCGAACUGGUUUCCUUGAGUACGCACAAAGUGGGCGGAAUUCGUGGUGUAGCGGUGAAAUGCUUAGAUAUCACGAAGAACUCCGAUUGCGAAGGCAGCUCACUGGAGCGCAACUGACGCUGAAGCUCGAAAGUGCGGGUAUCGAACAGGAUUAGAUACCCUGGUAGUCCGCACGGUAAACGAUGGAUGCCCGCUGUUGGUCUGAAUAGGUCAGCGGCCAAGCGAAAGCAUUAAGCAUCCCACCUGGGGAGUACGCCGGCAACGGUGAAACUCAAAGGAAUUGACGGGGGCCCGCACAAGCGGAGGAACAUGUGGUUUAAUUCGAUGAUACGCGAGGAACCUUACCCGGGCUUGAAUUGCAGAGGAAGGAUUUGGAGACAAUGACGCCCUUCGGGGCCUCUGUGAAGGUGCUGCAUGGUUGUCGUCAGCUCGUGCCGUGAGGUGUCGGCUUAAGUGCCAUAACGAGCGCAACCCCUCUCCUUAGUUGCCAUCAGGUUAAGCUGGGCACUCUGGGGACACUGCCACCGUAAGGUGUGAGGAAGGUGGGGAUGACGUCAAAUCAGCACGGCCCUUACGUCCGGGGCUACACACGUGUUACAAUGGCAGGUACAGAGAGACGGUCCCUUGCAAAAUGGAUCAAAUCCUUAAAGCCUGUCUCAGUUCGGACUGGAGUCUGCAACCCGACUCCACGAAGCUGGAUUCGCUAGUAAUCGCGCAUCAGCCACGGCGCGGUGAAUACGUUCCCG